This 377-nucleotide ribosomal RNA is filed under the name uncultured bacterium. RNAcentral describes it as "bacterial SSU rRNA". It matches the Rfam family "Bacterial small subunit ribosomal RNA", at positions 521 to 896 of the family's 1533-position model. The record is from RNAcentral.
UAAGACAGAGGCCCCGAGCGUUAGGCGGAAUCACUGGGCUUAAAGCGCGUGUAGGCGGAGGGCUAAGUACCUUGUGAAAUCCCCGGGCUCAACCCGGGAACUGCUGGGUAUACUGGCCUUCUUGAGGCAUCUAGGGGCGAGCGGAACAAACGGUGGAGCGGUGAAAUGCGUAGAUAUCGUUUGGAACGCCAACGGAGAAAUCAGCUCGCUGGGGAUGUCCUGACGCUGAGACGCGAAAGCCAGGGGAGCGAACGGGAUUAGAUACCCCGGUAGUCCUGGCCGUAAACGAUGUCCACUAGAUCGUGGCGCCUCUGACGGCGUCAUGGUCGAAGCAAAAGUGCUAAGUGGACCGCCUGGGAAGUACGGUCGCAAGGCUA